Molecule: ribosomal RNA, 465 nt
Filed under: Vreelandella stevensii
Lineage: Bacteria; Pseudomonadati; Pseudomonadota; Gammaproteobacteria; Oceanospirillales; Halomonadaceae
Description: partial 16S ribosomal RNA
Rfam family: Bacterial small subunit ribosomal RNA
Source: RNAcentral
CCUACGGGGGUCAGCAGUGGGGAAUAUUGGACAAUGGGGGCAACCCUGAUCCAGCCAUGCCGCGUGUGUGAAGAAGGCCCUCGGGUUGUAAAGCACUUUCAGUGAGGAAGAACGCCUGGUGGUUAAUACCCAUCAGGAAAGACAUCACUCACAGAAGAAGCACCGGCUAACUCCGUGCCAGCAGCCGCGGUAAUACGGAGGGUGCGAGCGUUAAUCGGAAUUACUGGGCGUAAAGCGCGCGUAGGUGGCUUGAUAAGCCGGUUGUGAAAGCCCCGGGCUCAACCUGGGAACGGCAUCCGGAACUGUCAAGCUAGAGUGCAGGAGAGGAAGGUAGAAUUCCCGGUGUAGCGGUGAAAUGCGUAGAGAUCGAGAGGAAUACCAGUGGCGAAGGCGGCCUUCUGGACUGACACUGACACUGAGGUGCGAAAGCGUGGGUAGCAAACAGGAUUAGAUACCCCUGUAGUC